UGUUAGUCAGUGACCAGUGAACAACGCCAGCAGCUUGCUGCUUCUGCUGACGAGUCGGCGGACGGGUGAGUAAUGUCUGGGAAACUGCCUGAUGGAGGGGGAUAACUACUGGAAACGGUAGCUAAUACCGCAUAACGUCGCAAGACCAAAGAGGGGGACCUUCGGGCCUCUUGCCAUCGGAUGUGCCCAGAUGGGAUUAGCUAGUAGGUGGGGUAACGGCUCACCUAGGCGACGAUCCCUAGCUGGUCUGAGAGGAUGACCAGCCACACUGGAACUGAGACACGGUCCAGACUCCUACGGGAGGCAGCAGUGGGGAAUAUUGCACAAUGGGCGCAAGCCUGAUGCAGCCAUGCCGCGUGUAUGAAGAAGGCCUUCGGGUUGUAAAGUACUUUCAGCGGGGAGGAAGGGAGUAAAGUUAAUACCUUUGCUCAUUGACGUUACCCGCAGAAGAAGCACCGGCUAACUCCGUGCCAGCAGCCGCGGUAAUACGGAGGGUGCAAGCGUUAAUCGGAAUUACUGGGCGUAAAGCGCACGCAGGCGGUUUGUUAAGUCAGAUGUGAAAUCCCCGGGCUCAGCCUGGGAACUGCAUCUGAUACUGGCCAGCUUGAAUCUCGUAGAAGGGCGUACAAUUCCGGGGGGAACCGCGAAAUGGCUUCAAAUCCGGAG
RNAcentral lists this ribosomal RNA (666 nucleotides) under Phytobacter massiliensis. Its description in RNAcentral is "bacterial SSU rRNA". It matches the Rfam family "Bacterial small subunit ribosomal RNA", at positions 56 to 703 of the family's 1533-position model. The record is from RNAcentral. Lineage: Bacteria; Pseudomonadati; Pseudomonadota; Gammaproteobacteria; Enterobacterales; Enterobacteriaceae.